RNAcentral lists this ribosomal RNA (465 nucleotides) under uncultured bacterium. RNAcentral describes it as "bacterial SSU rRNA". It matches the Rfam family "Bacterial small subunit ribosomal RNA", at positions 198 to 644 of the family's 1533-position model. The record is from RNAcentral.
GGAGGAAAGUAGGGGAUCGAAAGACCUUAUGCUUUUGGAGCGGCCGAUGUCUGAUUAGCUAGUUGGUAAGGUAAUGGCUUACCAAGGCAACGAUCAGUAGUUGGUCUGAGAGGACGACCAGCCACACUGGGACUGAGACACGGCCCAGACUCCUACGGGAGGCAGCAGUGGGGAAUUUUGGACAAUGGGCGCAAGCCUGAUCCAGCAAUGCCGCGUGAGUGAAGAAGGCCUUCGGGUUGUAAAGCUCUUUCAGUUGAGAAGAAAAGAUUGUAACUAAUAAUUGCAAUCCAUGACGGUAUCGACAGAAGAAGCACCGGCUAACUACGUGCCAGCAGCCGCGAUAAUACGUAGGGUGCGAGCGUUAAUCGGAAUUACUGGGCGUAAAGGGUGCGCAGGCGGUUUUGUAAGUCAGAUGUGAAAUCCCCAGGCUUAACCUGGGAACUGCGUUUGAAACUACAAAGCUAG